CCCUUAGAUGUUCGGAGCUGCACGCGCGCUACACUGAAGGAAGCAGCGUGUUAGAGCGCCUGGCUUGAAAGAGCUGGGUAAUCCGGUGAAUGUCCUUCGUGAUUGGGAUAGGGACUUGUAAUUAUUUCCCUUGAACGAGGAAUACCUAGUAAGUGCGAGUCAUCAGCUUGCGCUGACUUACGUCCCUGCCCUUUGUACACACCGCCCGUCGCUCCUACCGAUUGAGCGGUCCGGUGAAGACUCAGGAGAUGGGCGCGUGCUUGGUUCGCCAACUGCGCUGCCUGCCAAAUUUGUCUAAACCUUAUCGCUUAGAGGAAGGAGAAGUCGUAACA
This 332-nucleotide ribosomal RNA is filed under the name uncultured eukaryote. RNAcentral describes it as "partial 18S ribosomal RNA". It matches the Rfam family "Eukaryotic small subunit ribosomal RNA", at positions 1470 to 1796 of the family's 1831-position model. The record is from RNAcentral.